AGUGAACGCUGGCGGUAGGCCUAACACAUGCAAGUCGAACGGCAGCACAGUAAGAGCUUGCUCUUACGGGUGGCGAGUGGCGGACGGGUGAGGAAUACAUCGGAAUCUACUUUUUCGUAGGGGAUAACGCAGGGAAACUUACGCUAAUACCGCAUACGACCUACGGGUGAAAGCAGGGGAUCUUCGGACCUUGCGCGAUUGAAUGAGCCGAUGUCGGAUUAGCUAGUUGGCGGGGUAAGGCCCAACAAGGGCCCGAUCCGUAGCUGGUCUGAGGGGAUGAUCAGACACACUGGAACUGAGACACAGUCCAGACUCCGACAGGAGGCAGCAGUGGAGAAUAUUGGACAAUGGGCGCAAGCCUGAUCCAGCCAUACCGCGUGGGUGAAGAAGGCCUUCGGGUUGUAGAGCCCUUUUGUUGGGAGAGAAAAGCAGCAGGUUAAUACCCCGCUGUUCUGACGGUACCCAAAGAAUAAGCUCCGGCUAACUUCGUG
RNAcentral lists this ribosomal RNA (491 nucleotides) under uncultured bacterium. RNAcentral describes it as "partial 16S ribosomal RNA". It matches the Rfam family "Bacterial small subunit ribosomal RNA", at positions 29 to 507 of the family's 1533-position model. The record is from RNAcentral.